CUUUGAGAUGAUUCUGUAUUAUGAAAAGUGCUUGACAAAUGUAAUUUAUUAUUAUUAUUAUUAUUAUCUUAUUCAUCAUAGUUUAAAAGGCAAAACUGACUCUAGAUCAGCACUCCAACUAAGUGGGAAUACAGUAGUCCUGUGGCUCAGUUGGUAGAGUAUGGUGAAUGGGUCCCAAUGGGACCACCGGCAUGAAAGAUGUAUCCACACAUAAUAAGUCACUUUGGUUAAAAGUGUUUCUAAAUGGCAUAUCUUAUGAUAUAAUAAUAUCACUUAGUUGGACUAUACAGGUCCAGAUAUACAGGGUUUAUGUCAAACUUGUGUUCAGGUCCUCUUGGUUCUGGGUUUGUUGUGUUCAGGUCCUCUUGGUUCUGGGUUUGUUGAGUUCAGGUCCUCUUGGUUCUGGGUUUGUUGUGUUCAGGUCCUCUUGGUUCUGGGUUUGGUGUGUUCAGGUCUUCUUGGUUCUGGGUUUGUUGUGUUCAGGUCCUCUUGGUUCUGGGUUUGUUGUGUUCAGGUCCUCUUGGUUCUGGGUUUGUUGAGUUCAGGUCCUCUUGGUUCUGGGUUUGUUGUGUUCAGGUCCUCUUGGUUCUGGGUUUGUUGUGUUCAGGUACUCUUGGUUCUGGGUUUGGUGAGUUCAGGUCCUCUUGGUUCAGGGUUUGUUGUGUUCAGGUUCUCUUGGUUCUGGGUUUGUUGCGCUCAGGUCUUCUUGGUUCAGGGUUUGUUGUGUUCAGGUUCUCUUGGUUCUGGGUUUGGUGAGUUCAGGUCCUCUUGGUUCAGGGUUUGUUGUGUUCAGGUUCUCUUGGUUCUGGGUUUGUUGCGUUCAGGUCUUCUUGGUUCAGGGUUUGUUGUGUUCAGGUUCUCUUGGUUCUGGGUUUGUUGCGUUCAGGUCUUCUUGGUUCUGGGUUUGUUGCGUUCAGGUCUUUUUGGUUCUGGGUUUGUUGCGUUCAGGUCUUCUUGGUUCUGGGUUUGUUGCGUUCAGGUCUUCUUGGUUCUGGGUUUGUUGUGUUCAGGUCUUCUGGGUUUGUUGACUCUACUAUAGAUCUCAGAAGAGUCCUCCUCAGCUGCUUGUGCUGCCGUGGGUCUGAAGAGAGAGAAACAGAAAUUUAACAGAAU
Long non-coding RNA from Oncorhynchus tshawytscha (Chinook salmon), 1113 nucleotides. The record is from Ensembl. NCBI's taxonomy places the organism in Eukaryota, Metazoa, Chordata, Actinopteri, Salmoniformes, Salmonidae.